Helianthus annuus (common sunflower) is the source of this 423-nucleotide long non-coding RNA. RefSeq lists it as uncharacterized. The record is from RefSeq and is a predicted model, not a curated record. The transcript is spliced from 3 exons. Lineage: Eukaryota; Viridiplantae; Streptophyta; Magnoliopsida; Asterales; Asteraceae.
GCCCACACCCAGUUUUUGACCCGGCAAUGUAAACCUUCUAAAACAAUAACAAAUCCAACAUCCCCUCAUACGCACAAAACUUUACCACGUUUCAAUUGAAGUCGGCAGUGAGCAAUCUUUCUAUGAUAAUUCUUCUACCUUUUCAAUCUUCGUCUAGGUUUAAAUCAUCUGUUUGCGAUAAUCCCUAACUCAAUUUCAUUUUUUGUGAGAAACAAGCCGUCAUCUUCAAUUGGGUCUGAUUUCAUCUUUUGCGACAAAAAGUCUGAUUUGAUUGGAUUCAAUUUCAUCAUUUGCUACGGACAAUCCUAGCAUUCGAUCGGUGCUUCCUUCAUCUUCAAUUUCGCAGAGUUGUUCUCCUUACCAAAAUCGUCUAGCUUAUUCUCCAAAGUCUCAAACUACUAAAGCCAUUGCUUGCGUGGUGUC